UACGUAGGGUGCAAGCGUUAUCCGGAAUUAUUGGGCGUAAAGAGCUCGUAGGCGGUUUGUCGCGUCUGCUGUGAAAACUGGGGGCUCAACCCCCAGCCUGCAGUGGGUACGGGCAGACUAGAGUGCGGUAGGGGAGAUUGGAAUUCCUGGUGUAGCGGUGGAAUGCGCAGAUAUCAGGAGGAACACCAGUGGCGAAGGCAGAUCUCUGGGCCGUAACUGACGCUGAGGAGCGAAAGCAUGGGGAGCGAACAGG
Molecule: ribosomal RNA, 253 nt
Filed under: uncultured bacterium
Lineage: Bacteria
Description: partial 16S ribosomal RNA
Rfam family: Bacterial small subunit ribosomal RNA
Source: RNAcentral